AUUGAACGCUGGCGGCAGGCCUAACACAUGCAAGUCGAGCGGAUGAAGGGAGCUUGCUCCUGGAUUCAGCGGCGGACGGGUGAGUAAUGCCUAGGAAUCUGCCUGGUAGUGGGGGAUAACGUCCGGAAACGGGCGCUAAUACCGCAUACGUCCUGAGGGAGAAAGUGGGGGAUCUUCGGACCUCACGCUAUCAGAUGAGCCUAGGUCGGAUUAGCUAGUUGGUGGGGUAAAGGCCUACCAAGGCGACGAUCCGUAACUGGUCUGAGAGGAUGAUCAGUCACACUGGAACUGAGACACGGUCCAGACUCCUACGGGAGGCAGCAGUGGGGAAUAUUGGACAAUGGGCGCAAGCCUGAUCCAGCCAUGCCGCGUGUGUGAAGAAGGUCUUCGGAUUGUAAAGCACUUUAAGUUGGGAGGAAGGGCAGUAAGUUAAUACCUUGCUGUUUUGACGGUACCAACAGAAUAAGCACCGGCUAACUUCGUG
RNAcentral lists this ribosomal RNA (484 nucleotides) under uncultured bacterium. RNAcentral describes it as "partial 16S ribosomal RNA". It matches the Rfam family "Bacterial small subunit ribosomal RNA", at positions 30 to 507 of the family's 1533-position model. The record is from RNAcentral.